CCUACGGGUGGCAGCAGUGGGGGAUAUUGCACAAUGGGGGAAACCCUGAUGCAGCGACGCCGCGUGGGCGAAGAAGUAUUUCGGUAUGUAAAGCCCUAUCAGCAGGGAAGAAGAAAUGACGGUAUCAGAGUAAGGAGCACCGGCUAAAUACGUGCCAGCAGCCGCGGUAACACGGAGGGUGCAAGCGUUAUCCGGAAUUACUGGGUGUAAAGGGAGCGCAGGCGGCACGGCAAGCCUGAUGUGAAAGCCCGCGGCUCAACCGUGGGACUGCAUUGGAAACUGACGGGCUGGAGUGCCGGAGAGGUAGGCGGAAUUCCUAGUGUAGCGGUGAAAUGCGUAGAUAUUAAGAGGAACACCAGUGGCGAAGGCGGCCUACUGGACGGUGACUGACGCUGAGGCUCGAAAGCGUGGGGAGCAAACAGGAUUAGAUACCCUGGUAGUC
Molecule: ribosomal RNA, 442 nt
Filed under: uncultured bacterium
Lineage: Bacteria
Description: partial 16S ribosomal RNA
Rfam family: Bacterial small subunit ribosomal RNA
Source: RNAcentral